GCCGAAAUAGCACAGUGGCAGUGCGCUGGUCUAGUAUUCCCAUAUGGAUACAGUUAACCAGAGGUCCGGAGUUCGAAUCUCCGUUUUGGCU
Molecule: transfer RNA, 91 nt
Filed under: Pseudobdellovibrionaceae bacterium
Lineage: Bacteria; Pseudomonadati; Bdellovibrionota; Bdellovibrionia; Bdellovibrionales; Pseudobdellovibrionaceae
Description: Bdellovibrionaceae bacterium tRNA-Thr
Rfam family: tRNA
About the family: Transfer RNA (tRNA) molecules are approximately 80 nucleotides in length. Their secondary structure includes four short double-helical elements and three loops (D, anti-codon, and T loops).
Source: RNAcentral